This 252-nucleotide ribosomal RNA is filed under the name uncultured bacterium. Its description in RNAcentral is "partial 16S ribosomal RNA". It matches the Rfam family "Bacterial small subunit ribosomal RNA", at positions 15 to 266 of the family's 1533-position model. The record is from RNAcentral.
GAUCCUGGCUCAGGACGAACGCUGGCGGCGUGCUUAACACAUGCAAGUCGAACGGAAAGGCCUAAGCUUGCUUGGGUACUCGAGUGGCGAACGGGUGAGUAACACGUGAGUGAUCUGCCCUCAACUUCGGGAUAAGCCUGGGAAACUGGGUCUAAUACUGGAUAGGACCAUCCUUUAGUGUGUGAUGGUGGAAAGUUUUUUCGGUUGGGGAUGAGCUCGCGGCCUAUCAGCUUGUUGGUGGGGUAAUGGCCU